RNAcentral lists this ribosomal RNA (404 nucleotides) under uncultured bacterium. RNAcentral describes it as "bacterial SSU rRNA". It matches the Rfam family "Bacterial small subunit ribosomal RNA", at positions 9 to 407 of the family's 1533-position model. The record is from RNAcentral.
GAGUUUGAUCGUGGCUCAGGACGAACGCUGGCGGCGCGCCUAACACAUGCAAGUCGAGCGGGGAGAGCGAUAGUUUACUAGAGUUUUCCUAGCGGCGGACGGGUGAGUAACACGUGAAGAACCUGCCUUACAGAGGGGGACAACAGCUGGAAACGGCUGCUAAUACCGCAUAACGUUUAGUUGGGGCAUCCCGAUUAAACCAAAGGAGCAAUCCGCUGUAAGAUGGCUUCGCGUCCGAUUAGACAGUUGGCGGGUAACGCCCACCAAAUCUACGAUCGGUAGCCGGACUGAGAGGAUGAACGGCCACAAUGGAACUGAGACACGGUCCAUACUCCUACGGGAGGCAGCAGUGGGGAAUAUUGCACAAUAGGGGGAAACCCUGAUGCAGCAACGCCGCGUGAGUG